CCUACGGGAGGCAGCAGUGAGGAAUAUUGGUCAAUGGGCGCGAGCCUGAACCAGCCAAGUAGCGUGAAGGAUGACUGCCCUACGGGUUGUAAACUUCUUUUAUAAAGGAAUAAAGUGAGGCAUGUGUGCCUUUUUGUAUGUAUUUUAUGAAUAAGGAUCGGCUAACUCCGUGCCAGCAGCCGCGGUAAUACGGAGGAUCCGAGCGUUAUCCGGAUUUAUUGGGUUUAAAGGGAGCGUAGAUGGGUUGUUAAGUUAGUUGUGAAAGUUUGGGGCUCAACCGUAAAAUUGCAAUUGAUACUGGCAGCCUUGAGUACAGUUGAGGUAGGCGGAAUUCGUGGUGUAGCGGUGAAAUGCUUAGAUAUCACGAAGAACUCCGAUUGCGAAGGCAGCUUGCUAGGCCGGAUCUGACACUGAUGCACGAAAGCGUGGGGAUCGAACAGGAUUAGAUACCCUGGUAGUC
This 460-nucleotide ribosomal RNA is filed under the name uncultured bacterium. RNAcentral's name for it is "partial 16S ribosomal RNA". It matches the Rfam family "Bacterial small subunit ribosomal RNA", at positions 338 to 795 of the family's 1533-position model. The record is from RNAcentral.